CCAAUUAUUAAGUGACUUUUUAAAUACUAUCUAAAUACAUUAUGAACACUACCUUAAAUAAAGCUAUAGGAAAACUCUAUAAAAAUAAAAGCUAAAAUAAUAGUCAAAGCCAUUUCCAGAAAUAGCCAUCAUAUUUCCUUCUCUCAAGCUCUAUAAAAUUACUAAAUAAACAAAUUAAAAAAAACUAUCAUCUUUGUAGUCAACCAAUUUUGCCCGGGCCCUUUUAAAGUAUUAAAAUAAGCCCAACAAAUAAGUCCAGGUAAAUUGAACACACACAAAUAAAGAAUCCAAAUUCAGAAAUCCAAUGUCCGGUUACAAAUAUUAGGGCCAAAAAUAACUUAAACCCAAAAUCCUUUAAUAUAGACUUAACCCAAUCCUUAGUUCGAACAGCCCAAACCCGAGGCCUAAUACACCCAAAACGAAACACAGCAGUCGAGAGCACCAGAAGCUUCUGGAAUACAAGAGAGUUGGGCUCCCAUGAGAGGCUCCUCGCAUGGCCUCCUUUGCGCGUCUCCUUUCUCCUCCGUACGGCCAUCCCUGCGUUAGAAUACACGAGAAGAGGCCAGCUAACAAAAUACAACAAAUGACAGCAAUAAAAAUGUAUUUUUAUUUAUUAUUUAUUUUACUCUGUAAAUUUGGCUAUAAAACCAAUGAUUGUACCUGCAAAAGGGAUUACGAAUAUACUACGCACACCAGAUAUAAAAAAUAGAGCAUUUCACAAGCAUUUUUUUAGGUGUGAUUUUCUGUUUAAUAGUUGCUUUUAAAUUUCGGCCAAAUGACUUCAUUUUUAUCUUUCAUUAUUGUAUUAAAAAAAUAAUAGAAAGAAAGAGAGAAGAAAUCUCACCUUAUGGAUCGGCCAUUGAUCCUCUCUUUGCUUCGUCAGACUUGAAGUGGAAAAAGAGGUCUUAAGGCCGAAAAUUAUCAUCAAAAGGCCACAUUUGUCGGUUGUUGUUUUUAAGGGAAGAUCGGCGUUGGUGUUAAAAGGGGAAUCAAACGGCGCCAUCCAUCAAUUGUAAUGUUAAAAGCGGCAGCCGAAUAUGAGCAAACACUUAGGGUUUUUUUCCCCCCUUUUCAAUCUGCUCUGCUGAAAUAAGCUCUUAGAAGCUGUUUUUUUUUUUUUGCUUUUAGUUGGCACCGUGAGACGACGACGUUUAAGGCAUGGAUUUGUAGCCUUGAAAUGACGCCGUUUAAGCUUGCCCCACCCGAUCCGAUUCCUUUACCCCUGGGAUCCGCGUAUUUUUGUGGAGAGGGAUAAUUGCGCAAUUGAUCCUUCUUGUUUCGCGCUACUAUUCAAUUACAAGCUAUUUGCUUAUUUCUUUUUUAAUUUGGCUUGGUAAUUUGAGUGCAUUUGCAAUUGGAUCCAUGCUUCAGCUGAAUGUUUUUGGAGAUCUGGAAUAUUUCCAGCUUUAACCCAUAUACGUUUGCACGCAUUGCAUGGGGGUCCUUAUUUUAAUAGUAGUAGUUUGUUUUAUUUAUAAAUUAUCCCUUUAUUUUAUAAUUUUAUUUCAAUUGGUUUUUUAUUAUUUUUUUAAAUUCGUUUCACAUUCAUUUUUCCUUUUAGGUUCUUUUUUUUUUUAUAUAUUUGGAGCUCCUUCGAUGAUUGUGUUUUGUUUUAAAGUCAGUACUGUAAAUUUAUUUUAUCAUAUCAUUUUUACACUGUGUAUAAUAUUUUAUAUGAAUGUUUUUAUGCAUUAUUAUAUAUAUAUAUAAUUAUUCCAUGUAUAUUAUUAAUCUUAUAUUAUUUUAUACACAUAAUUUAUUUUAAAUUUAUUCCUAUAUCUUAUUAUAUAUCUAUGUUGUUUAAAGGAAAAUCCUACAUAUUUUGUGUUUUUUUUCCUUAAUUACUAUUAUACGUAACCCAUAUUAAAUUAUUUUACUAUAGUCUACAUUAUUGAUUUCAUAUUAAUAUUUCUUGUAUGUAUAUAUUUUUUCUCUUUAAAAUUAUGCAUGCGUAUAAUGCGUUUCUUUUAAGAACUAUAAUUUUAAGUCAUACCAUUUAUUUAUUGUAUACACUCUCAUAUUUUAUUAUCCUUAUAUAUGUAUUAUUUAUAUGUGCCAUCAAUUCAAACCAAUUUGUUACAUGUGAAAUUAUGUUAUAUAUUAUUUGUUUUAAAAUUCCCUUUAUAAUAUAGUUUUAUAAAUAUACACCACUAAAUUUAUGUAUUUUUGUAAAUAUAAUUUUUUAUCUUUUUGUGUAUAUGAUUACAUUUUCUAAAAUUUGUUACAUGUAUAAUUUAUAUAUUUACUUAAUUUUUUUUCAUACAUUAUUAAUUUGAUGCUAUUUUUUUUACAAAUAAUUAUUUCUAAAUUUAUUUAUAUUCAUGUUCUAUGAAUUUAUUAUGUACAUUAUAUUUUAUCAUGUGUUUUAUUUUUAUUUUAUAUUUUAUAUGUUAUUUAAGCUAUCAUGCAUGUUGUCAAUUUUUCAAAUGGAUUUGUGCUUAAAAUAUUAUGCAUAUUAUUCAAUUCAAAGGCUUUAUUUUACAAUAUUUAUUUCAAAUGAUAAUAUAUCCCUAGUUUUUAUACAAAUUUGUCAACUUAUAUUAUGUGUCCAUUAAUUCAUCAUUAUUUUGAAAAUGUCCUAUACUAUAUUGACUUCUAAUUCCAUUUUAUUUUGUACAUAUUUUGUGGAUCGUUUUAUAUGGUGUCAUGUUAGUUAUUGUUGUAUGCUAUUUUUGUAUUGAUUGUUCACCAUCCAUGAUUAAGAAUUUGGUUACAUUUUACUUAGAAUAGUUGUACAUAAUUGUUGGAUUUAUUAAUUGUGACUUGUUGUAUCAUAUUAGUUCAUGUUCAUUAAUCCUUUCCUAGGCAAAUGUUUCGAUACAAUGCAUUAAGUAUUCCAUCUAUUUUAAAACAACUAAACGUGUUUUGAGCGAAUUUCCAAUUUUCUUUAUUAUUCAAAAAUUCUGAAAUAAGGCAAUAUCCAAUAUUUGGGAAUUCGGGAAAUCGUGCUCAAUCGUGCUGGGUAUGAUUUUUUUGGUGAACUAAAUAUUUGGAUAACCUUUAUAAUUUUAGUGUACGAGUUUUCAAAAGUCAAAAAUCAAUCGUAUUUUUAAAGGUAUAAAGGAUCGUAUCCAAUCGUGCUGGGUAUGAUGCUGCAUAUCUUUGAAACGAGAGAAUUUUGGUCGCUAAUUUGAACUAUUCAAACAUUUUAAAAAAGAAUCAUACUUUGAAAAAUCUUUUUUUAAAAAAAACCUUCUAGUAUAAGGAUAGCAUCAAGUCAAUUUGGUACCAAUUUUUGGGCGUAAUGAGGGUGCUAACCCUUCCUCAUGCGUAAUCGACUCCCGAACCUAUUUUUGAUUUUCUGUAAACCAAAAUUAUUGUAACAAAACGAUUUAGUAGGUGGCCCAAUCACACCUAAAUCAAAAGAUUGGUGGCGACUCCACAUUUUUGUUUUCAAAAGUCGAUCCCUAUUGUUUUCAAAUAAAAAAAGGGUUUCGACAGCUUGGCGACUCUGCUGGGGAUUGAACAAAGAGAGUCAGGCCAUAAAUUUGAUUGUUUGCUAUCCUUUUGUCAAAGAAUUGAAAAUUUGUGUUGAAAAUUAUGAUUCUUUUAAUUGCAUUUGUUGGCAUGAUUGUAGUGGUACGAGUUUGGUAGAAUAAUAUUGCAUUGCAUUGCUUGACCGCUGUGGUUAUACCUAUUAAGUGGGAGUAAGAAACUAUGCUUUCGUGAGGUUUUCACCUCCGUAUGGGCUAGUGGAUUACUUCCGGGAUACAUCCGUACCUAUGAUUCCGUGAUAUUUUCAUCUUCGCAUGGUCAUAGGGAAAUAUGUUCCCCUGAACCGAACUCGAUUCAUAUGAGCCUAUAAUGGGUGAGGAUUAAGGAAUCUGCUGGUUCGGGUACCUUUACUCUAGGACUGAGCUACAUAUAGUGAACCUUAAGAGCUAUCCUUAGGUAGAGCCGCGUCAAGCCUUAGUCAUUGCCUAUAUGUGUGUUAUGAUUAUCUUUGUUGUUAUACUUCUAUUUUAUCACUUAUAUUUGAUACUAACUUGUGUUUUGUUUUGAUUGUGUUUUACAUGACAUUGCAUACUAAAGGAGGUGUUGGUUCGUAUUCGAUUACUAAGUUAGAAAGUUUAACAUGGAGAAUGAAUUUCUUAAUAAAGUUGAGGAUAAUGCGGCCGUUCACGUAAGGUCAGAGAAUGUAAAACUUUACUCGCAUCCAUGUAACACAGAAUGAGCUGCAGGAGUUGAAAGACAUAUGGUCUCAUUAGGAUGAGGGCACUAAACAAUUGUUCUACCAGAGUUAUGGUGAUAUACCGUACUUGCUCGAUGUUAAGGUAGAUAAGCGUUUGUUCCGAGGUAUGGCUCAAUUUUGGAAUUCUGCUUAUAAUUGUUUCAUUUUUGGGGAAGUAGAUUUGGUUCAUACCUUGGAAGAAUAUACUACUUUGUUGAGAAGUCCAAAAGCUUAAGUCAGAAAAAUUUAUGCUAAGGUUUCUAAUGGUCAAACUUUUGCAAAAAGGUUGGUGAAUAUUUCGGGGAUGAGUGAAUCUUGGGUCACUGCUCGAAUUCAACAGAAGGGGGAUAGUAAGUGUAUUCCCUAGGAAAAUUUGAGAGAUUUGGUUUUGACGCAUCCGGAUGAAAAGAAAAGGGUUGAUAUGUUUGCCUUAAGCAUCUAUAGACUGGUGAUUUUUCCGAAGGCUUUAAGGCAUGUUGAUGAGGCAGUCACUGAUUUGUUUAAUUGUCUCGAAAAGGGAGUCACACCUGUACUUGCAAUACUAGCCGAGACGUUUAGAUCUUUGAGCAUGUGUCGAAGGACAGGGGAAGGUCGAUUUAUUGGAUGUGCACAGUUGUUGAUGAUAUAGUUUCACGGGCAUUUUUGGAAAGUGAAUAGGGUUUCGUACCGUGUCUUCUCCGAAGGUUACUCCCUAUUAAAAGAAGAGAUGGCCAUGCAAAGGAGAGAUGAUAAUUCAGAAGAGAAAUGGAUGGAAAUUCUCCAAAAUCUCUAGGAGGAUGAUGUAGAGUGGAGAGCUUUCUAGAUGGUUCUUGAUGAAAUCUUGUAUUGAUAUGGUAGCUAUAAUUGGGUGCCAUUGUUAGAAAUUUGGGGAGCUACUGGAUAUACUCUUUUACUUGCAUUAAGGCAAUAUAAAUCGAGGUGGUUCAUACUUACGACAUACGGGCUGGCUCAGUGUGAAUUUCCAUAUAAAAGAGAUCACUAUAGGAAGAAAGUUCGGGAGUUAUCUGAUGCCUGGAGGCAAACACACUGGAUGAAGAGGCUGACUGUUGGUUCCAUGGUAACACACGAAUACAAUAGAUGGUUUAGGAAAAGGGUCAAUGAUAAUAUUCCUAGACCAAGUUUGGAAAGCACCCGACCAAUGGAGGAACAGUUACAAAUUGCCCCGUCAGAGUUGGAAAUUAUAAAGCAAGAUUUUGAGAAGAAGAGUUCUGAGUUUGGGAAGAAGAUCGAGUAGUUGGAAGAGGAAAAGAUGCACUUGAAGUUAGAUGUGGAGAUUCAGAAGUUAGAGGCAGAAAUGCUACAGAAAAGGAAGAGUGAAGUUGAGGAAGAUUUGGAAAGCUUGAAAACAGAUUAUAAGAAGCUGCGCUUAUCAAUGAGGACUGCUGGAUUAGGAAAGACUUCAGAACAAUGGCACUAAGAGGUUCGAGAAGAAAGGGCUAAGGCAGAUCAAUGGGAAAAGAGGCUCCAAGAGGCUCAAGCUCGGAAUGAAGCCUUGAAAAGAAGUUUGUCGGAGAGUAAGAAUGAAAAAGAUGAAUUAAGAGCUAGAGUAGCGGAACUUGAGAGAUCUCUGUGUUUAUACCGGAAUCGUAAUUCUGUGAUAGGUUUAAAGCAAGCUUAGGUAAGAUCGAGGAGAUGAAAGGGAAAAUAGAAGAACUAGAAAUGGCAUUGCAAAGUUGUGAAAUGAGGAUUGAGUUUUUGGAGGCAAAUGAGGAACAAUGGAAGGGCCAGCUUCAUCACUCCCAAGACCAGGUUAGAAGCAGAGAUUACAUCAUGGGCGAGGCUGUAAUGCAAAUUCGAGAAGUAGCUGAUUAUUUGCAAUCUUUAGCGGUACAAGUAGACGUAUUAAGCGUGAAGUACGAGUUGGAGUCAGAUAGGGGACAAGAACUAGCUUCAUUACUUAGGAAAAUUAAAGCCCUGAGUGUUAGGGCGAAGUCGUAUUUGUAACUCAGUUUUAUGUAAAGAAUUUUAUUUUCUAGUAAAGUUUUAUAAAAGGAAUUGAAUCAGAAUUGAUGCCUCCUUUGCAUUCAUGCAUUUGCAUUACAUUACAUUAUAUGCAUUAAAGCUCAUAAUAAGAUUCUAAUUAAUUAAAAAUUAUUUCAGUAAUCUGGAAACCAACAAAAACAUACCAAAUAAGUAUCCCUACGGUACGAGGAAAAAGACUAAGUUAAUGGACAAAAGACUGGAAAAGUUAGAACAAAUGCAAAAGGAUAUGGAAGAGCAAAUGCAGUCACAGAUGCAAGAGCAGUUGGUUAACAUUCAGCAAGAGAUGAAAGAACAGAUGAUAAAGUCCCAAAGAGAGAUGAUGAGUCAGUUGUCCCAAUUGCUGAUGAGAAGAGUGGAUAAGGGAAAAGGUCCUAUGGAUAAUAUGGGAGAAAAUAAUGAAGACCCUCAAUAUCCUCCCGGCUUCACUCCUAUACAUGUGCAGACACAACCUGAGAUUAAUUUGCAGAAGUCAUCUAUUACGAUCAGGCCUCAGUAGUUUCAGGCUGGGGUUUCAGUACCAAUGAAUUUUCAAGCUGGUUCAGGUUAUAAUCCUGAUAACAACUCUAAAAAUCCAAUUGUUCCUGAUUUGGAUGAGGUUGCGAAAGAGGAAAGGGCAAAGGCGGAGUCAUAAAAGCAAUUAGAAGAACGGUGUAAAUGGCUGGAGGAAAAGGUCAGAGCAAUGAAGAGUAUUGAUAGACACCCGAGAAUUGAUGCAAAAUAUCUAAGUUUGGUCCCGGACUUAGUACUGCCAUACAAGUUCAGGAUGCCAGAAAUUGAGAAAUACAAUGGAACGAGCUGUCCUGAAGCUCAUGUCACUAUGUUUUGCAGAAUAAUGACGGGAUAUGUUCAUAACGAUCAAUUGUUGAUUCAUUGCUUCCAAGAUAGUUUGGUAGGAGUGGCUGCUAAAUGGUACAAUCAAUUGAGUCGAAAUAGGAUUAGUUCAUGAAGAGAUUUAGCACAGGCGUUUAUGAAGGAAUAUAGCCAUGUGACAGAUAUAACUCCUGAUAGGAUUACUCUGCAAAAUAUGGAGAAGAAACCAAAUGAAAGUUUCAAGCAGUAUGCACAGAGGUGGAGGGAAAUGGCCAUUCAGGUUCAACCACCGCUCUUGGAGAAAGAAACUACGAUGCUCUUCAUUAACACCUUAAAGGCUUCGUUAUAACUCAUAUGCUAGGAAGUUCCACGAAGAGCUUUACGGACGUGGUCAUGACAGGAGAAAUGAUUGAGAAUGCCACAAGAAAUGGAAGGAUAGACGCAGGAGAAAGUGCUAAAAGGUCUGUGUCACAGAAAAAAGAGAAUGAGGUGAACAAUACGAACAUGGGAUAUUCAAAGUCUGUUACUGUAAGUAAACCAAAAGCGGUAACUACCGGUCAGGGAUCAUCAAGGCAAGAGUCAGGAACCAGGCAGAAUAAUGAGAAGAUUCAAUUUACACCAAUUCCCAUGACAUUCAAAGAGUUAUAUCAAAGUUUGUUCGAUGCACAUGUGGUGGCACCUUUUUACUUAAAGCCAUUGCAGCCUCCGUUCCCUAAAUGGUACGAUGCUAAUGUUCCAUGUGAGUAUCACGCAGGAAUUGUGGGUCAUUAGAUAGAAAAUUACACCACUUUUAAGAAGCUAGUUAAGAGAUUUAUCUAGAUGGGCAUUUUAAAAUUCGAUAAUGCACCCAGUACUGAAAAUCCGCUACCUAAUCAUACUGAUAGCUGGGUAAAUACAAUAGAUGGAGGUAUUGGAAAAAGGACCAAGAAGGAUGUUUCAGAAGUAAAGACUCCUUUGAAACCAGUUUGGAAAGAGAUGACAAGAAGGGGAUUAGUUACUUCAAACACGGAAGGAAAUAAUAAUGGGAUAGAGAAUUAUUGUGAGUUCCAUCAUAAAGAGGGACACAUAAUUUAGGAUUGUGAAGGAUUCAGAGUUGUUAUUCAGAGCCUGAAGGACAGUAAAGAAAUAGAAUUUUAUGAAGAGGUUUCAGAAGAAGAGUAUAUAUGCGCAUCAGAAUCCGUAUCAAGUGUCCCGAAAGUAAACUAUCCUGUGGUUAUUAUUUCGUGUCCUAAGAAUGAAGUAGGAGUUCAAGUGACGCCAAAGAUCAUAAUUUAGAAGUCGGCAGUUUUUUCUUACAAGGAUAGUAAAAGGGUCCCCUGGAACUACGAUUGUAAAGUGAUGAUCCCAGGAAAGGAGAGUACAAUCAACUCGUUAAAGGCGGACCAAGAUACAGUGUCUCACACAUGUAAUGGAAGACGAUAUGAUACCCGAAUAGAGCCUAUGAAAGGAAGAGAUGUGCUGGUCGAGCAAGAGAAGGGAAAAAUAGUUGAAUUUGAUAUACCUGUUAAUGAACCAGUGAAAGAAGAAGAAGUUAAGUAAUUCCUGAAAUUUCUGAAACAUAGUGAGUAUAGUGUGGUGGAACAAUUGCAUAAACAGCCAGCCCGUAUAUCUAUAUUGGCUUUACUCUUGAGUUCAGAGGUGCAUCGGAGUGCAUUGAUGAAGGUGCUAAACGAGACAUAUGUAACCAAUGAUAUUUCCUUCAAUAAGUUGGAUUGAUUGGUUAACAACAUAAGUGCAGACAAUUUCAUCUAUUUCAAUGAUGAUAAGAUACCCCUAGGAGGAAUGGGAUCUACCAAAGCUUUGCACAUAACUACUAGAUGUAAGGGAUACACAAGGAAAUUUGAUUGGAGAAGGAAAAAGACUUUUCUGAUGAAAUGAUAGAAAAAAUAAAUAAAAAUCACAUUUCUAAAGAAGAAAUAUAUAAAAUAUCUAAGUUUAAAAUAUGGAGUCAAAGACAUAUAGAAAAGAUUAAUGGUAACACAGUCGCUAAGGAUACUAGAGGAGGAUUAAUAGAAAUUCCAUUAUUUACUAAAGAAAAAAUUAAGAGGAUUAAAAAGAAAUACCCUCAAGUUAGAUAGAUACAUUUAGGUAUAAUUAUGAUAACAAUUAGAGAUUUAUUUAGAAAAGGACAUGAUCUACCUAUCAUAGCAGUUUUAUUAGAUAAAAGAUUUGAAAACCCGAUCAAAGCACUUAUUGGAGGAAUACAGUCUAAUUUACAUACUGGUGUAAUAGGAUUUAAGGUUAAACCAAACUAUUUUAUAUCUAUUACAGACCCUCUAAUAGAAGAGUGUUUAUGUUUAAGAAUUCAGACAAAAAAUUCUGAAAUAAGUGAUUUAGCAGAAGAUCUAGCAAUAAGUUAGACUUCUAUUAAUGAAUAUACCAACACGACAGAAGUAGAAAUUAAAGAAAUCAAUAAUAAAAUAAUUGAGUUAUUUGAACCCAAUAAAUUUACUACAGAGAUACAACCAAAAUUACUACAUCUAAAAGAUCUGUCAAUACCAAAAGAUUGGAUGAUUGAUAGAAUAAGUGGUACUAGUACUUCAAAACCUGUAAGUACUAUAGAAUAUAUGUCAUCUGGAGAUAGACUAUAUUUUAAAAAUAAUGCUAUAACAAAUACAAAUGAUAAUUUAGUUUUACCUUCUAAUUCUCAAAUAGAGGAAGAAGAAGAUAAUAUUAGUACAAAUUCGACAACACCAAUAGGUAUGAAAACAGUUCAAAUACCUAUUUUCCCUACUGAACCUAGUAGAAAUUUUAGAAAUACUAGAAUGGAAGAAAUACAAUCUACUACUAUUAUUCAACAAAUGAAAAUAGGAAAAAAUGAUAUUAUUACAUUUUCAAAUUUCCAACCUAGGAAAUAUUAUACAUAUAUAGAAAUUACACUUCAAUUUAGAGACGAUAAAACAUAUUUUUUGCAUGCUUUAUUAGAGUUAGCAUUAUUUGCCAAAAUCCUGAUUUAUAAUCGAAUUUAUUGAAGUAUUUUGCAUGUUUAGCUUGAUUAAUCAAAACAUCUUUUCGUGGAAUAAAAUAUCCAUCAAAAAUAGUGUUUUGGUUUAGUCUUUUAUAAUUAAUUACCAUCUUAGCUUUUUCUCUUUUUAUUUCAGCAUGGUUUCUUACCAUAAAGGCUGGACUUGAGUGUGGACUAUUAGUUUUUUCUAUUAAUCCUUUUUCCAAUAAUUCUUUGAUUUGUAUAUCAAAUUCAUCUAUAUCUUGUUUAGUAUAGAUCAUAGGUUUGAUUCUAAUUAUUUAUUAGGAUUCUUUAAUUUUAUUUCAUAAUAUCUUGGACUAUUUUCCCAUAAUUUUAAUGGUUCUUCACUAAAAUUAUUUUCUAGAAUUUUAAACAACCAAUGAUUUGUUUCUAGUUGUUUAAUUUGUUCUUUUCUUAUUGGUCUAAAUCCUUUAUCACAUACAAAUUUAUGGUUUUCUAUUAAAGUUAUUUCUACAGAAGUUUUUUCUAUUGAUAAUAUUACUAAAUUUCUAUCUAUAGAAAACGGUAGAUAAUGAUAUAUAAAAUUAUUUCCUAAUAAUAUGUCUCCAUGCAUUUCAGGAAAACACAAUAUUUUAGGAAUUACAAAUCUUACAUUAUUUAUGUAAAUUGGUAUAUUUCUAGCUUUAAAUUGAAUUAUGGUUUCUUUACCAUCAAUUCCUAUAGCUCUGAUUGGGUUUUUCAUUAAUUCCCAUUUUUCUACAGGAAUGGCAUUUUCUCUACAACUACUUGUGGUAGCUCCAGUAUCUAAUAAAGUAUGCAAAGAAUAUGUUUUAUAGUCUCUAAAUUGAAGUGUAAUUUCUAUAUAUGUAUAAUAUUUCCUAGGUUGGAAAUUUGAAAAUGUAAUAAUAUCAUUUUUUUCCUAUUUUCAUUUGUUGAAUAAUAGUAGUAGAUUGUAUUUCUUCCAUUCUAGUAUUUCUAGAAUUUCUACUAGGUUCAGUAGGGAAAAUAGGUAUUUGAACUGUUUUCAUACCUAUUGGUGUUGUCGAAAUUGUACUAAUAUUAUCUUCUUCUUCCUCUAUUUGAGAAUUAGAAGGUAAAACUAAAUUAUUAUUUGUAUUUGUUAUAGCAUUAUUUUUAAAAUAUAGUCUAUCUCCAGAUGACAUAUAUUCUAUAGUACUUACAGGUUUUGAAGGUGCACCUAAUGGUCAUUAUCAAUGGAGAGUAAUGCCAUUUGGGUUAUGUAAUGCACCUCAAAUCUUCCAAAGAUGGAUGGAUUCUAUAUUUAAUAAAUAUAAAAAAUUUUGUGUAGUCUAUAUAGACGAUAUAUUAAUAUUUUCAGAAACACUGGAAAAACAUAAAAAACAUUUAAAUAUUAUCUCUCAAGAAUUCAUAAAACAUGGAAUUAUUUUAAGCCCUAAGAAAAUAGAAUUAGAAAAAACAGAAAUAGAAUUUUUAGGUUUAAAUCUAUCUGCUGAUGGUCUUAAACUACAAGAUCAUAUUAUAGUAAAAAUAAAAUAAUUUCCAGAAGAAAUUAAAAACCAAAAACAACUUCAACAAUUUUUAGGAAUAGUUAAUUAUGGAAGAAACUUCUUUCCUAACUUAUCUCAAAAAAUAGGUGAUUUAUAUGAAAAACUAAAAAAGGAUAAAACUUUUAGUUGGUCUAAAGAAGACUCAGAAAUUAUUAAAAAUAUAAAAUCAGAAAUAAAUUAUACCCCAAAAGUCUAUUUACCAAAACAAGGUGAUAGAUUAAUUUUAGAAACCGAUGCAUCAGAAAAAUAUUGGGGAUGUAUUUUAAAAGCUAAAACAGCAAAAAACGAAGAACUAAUAUGUGGAUAUAGUUCUUGAAAAUUUAAAUCAAAUGAAGUUAAUUAUGCUAUAUAUGAAAAAGAAUUAUUAGCUAUUAAAAAGGCAAUAAAAACCUUUCUCAUAUAUUUAGCAUCUGAAAAUUUUAUUAUAAAAACUGACAACCAGGCAGUCAAACAAUUUCUGACUAAUAAUAGUCUAGAAAGUGUACCAAGAAGAAUUAGAUGGUACAAUGAUUUAUGUAGUUUCAAUUUUGAAGUUUUAUAUGUCAAAGGUAUUAAUAAUAUUAUUGCUGAUUAUCUUAGCAGGCCUUAUGGAAAGAGGUAAAAAACCUCUAGAACAAGUCGGGGAAUGGACUACUGUCCAUAAAAAACCCAACAAAGGAAAGCAGAUAAAUCCUAAUCAAGGAUUUACUCCCAAUCAAGGAUUGGCCCCCAAUCAGGGAUUUACUCCUAUAUUAACAGGAUUCUAUCCUAAUCAAGGAUAUUAUGUUCCUUAUCCAAUGGUAAGACAACCAACUGGAUCUCCUUCAUCAUAUGCAUCAAGAAUGGUAAACGAAUACCCUUCAAAAAGAAUAAUUCAAUCUCCUUGGUCUCAAGAUCCGAAUUCAGCAUAUCAAGCCAGUUAUUCUGAAGUUAUAAAAGGAGCAGAAAAUUUGUUGAAACAACAACAAAUUCCAUAAAUAAAAGAUUUUUAUAAUCCAGGAUUACCAAGUGAAAUUUAUAAAUAUAUUAAUGAAAUAUGGAAAACCCAUAUUUUAGAACAAAGAGUAAAUUUUAGACGAGCUCUUACAAAGUUUUCACAAUUUCUAGUUGAAAAAACAACCAAAGAAAAUGAAGCACAUGAAUUAUUAUUAAAAGUAGUUUUAUACAGAGAUUGGCAAGAACUCGAAAUAGAAUAUACAAAUAUCAAUGAGAUAAAUAAUCUUAUUGAUAUAUUUCAAUACUUUAUUCAUAAAGGAACAAAUAGUCCCAUUAUGAAUAAAAUGUUUAGAAUAUGUUUAUAUAAUAAAGCUAGGAAAAUACUACCAGCAGAAAUUUUUGAAAAAAUCAAUAAAAUUAUCUGCAACCAGCAGAUUCAAUAUAAAAAAGUCUUUUCUGAAUACUUUUUACAAUCAUAUGUUUAUCUAAAUGAUAUAGGGGAAGAAAUUCCUACUAUAAAAUUCAGAUUAGAUCAUGAACCAUUUGAUAUAAACAGUAUUGAAUGGGGUUUCGUUAGACAAAUUGUAGUACAAAACUUUUCUUUUCACUUAUUAAAAGAUUUUCCUGCUAUUAUAAAAGCUAUAUUGUCACUUUUAGUAUAUCAAGAUGAUUUUUAUUACUAUUUUUAUAUCCAAAUAAGUAGUCUUAUUGGAAUUGCUGAAAAAGAGCGAUUCUAUCAACCAUAUCAAAUAUGGAUUAUUCAACGAAUGUUUGAUAGUCAUUAUUUAUCAGCAGCCAAAGAAGAUAAAAAACACUUGACCAAAACCAUUGACAAGUGUUACAAUAAUCCAAAAUAUUUUCAAAUCCAAGCCGGAAUUGAUUUAAUGUCAACAGCUCGACAUGUACUUCAAGAUCAAACAUACAAACUAUCUACCGAUGGAAGAAGAAUAGUAGCUGAUAAAAACAGCAUGAUUCAAAAAUCAAGAGAUGAAGAAUCCAUACAACUGCUAAAGAAAAUAGCAGAUAUGGAAAUAGACGAUUUCCCUUCAGAAAUAAUUGAAGAAAUCAAGAACACAUGGGAAACUUGGAAUUCAUAUAUCAAAUUAUAUAUUUAAUAGAAAAAAUUUAAAUAUUACCUCUCAAGAAUUCAUAAAACAUGGAAUUAUUUUAAGCCCUAAGAAAAUAGAAUUAGAAAAAACAAAAAUAGAAUUUUUAGGUUUAAAUCUAUCUACUGAUGGUCUUAAACUACAAGAUCAUAUUAUAGUAAAAAUAAAAGAAUUUCCAGAAAAAUUAAAAACCAAAAACAACUUCAACAAUUUUUAGGAAUAGUUAAUUAUGUGUUUAGAAGGGGUUCUAGUAGAUAAUGAUUCGGCAUUGAAUGUGUUACAUUUGUCCACACUAAACAAGUUACCUGUGGGUAGCUCUCACAUGAAAGGAUGUCAGAACAUAGUAUGAGCAUUUGAUGGUACAGAGAGGAGAGUCAUGGGAAGAAUAGAAGUGCCCUUGUUAAUUGGCCCAACCACGUAUGAGGUAGAUUUCUUAGUAAUGAAUAUCAACCCUUCUUACAAUUGUUUGUUGGGAAGACCUUGGAUACAUUCUACAGGAUGGCUAGGUGGCAAAUUUUGCUUUCUGAAUUUGACAUAAUUUACGUGAGUCAGAAGGCUGUGAAAGGAAGCGCAAUAGCAGAUUUUCUGGCCAGCCGAGCUUUAGAAGAUUACGAACCCUUGAAUUUUGACUUCCCCAAUGAGGAGAUAGUAUAUGUGGCAGCUGCUGAAGAGGAUACUAUAAAAGGUCACUUUUGGAAAUUGAAUUUUGAUGGAGCCUCAAAUGCUGUGGGUAAUGGAGUUGGGGCAGUUCUAGUAUCCCCAAGUGGAGAUCAUUAUCCAUUCACAUGUAAACUGGAUUUUGAUUGUACGAAUAAUAUGGCAGAAUAUGAAGCAUGUAUCAUGGGGCUCAGGGCAGCUAUAGAGCACAAGAUCAAGGCAUUGGAAGUAUAUGGAGAUUCUGCGCUAGUAGUUUAACAGCUUCGAGGUGAAUAGGAGACAAGAGACGCUAAACUAAUCAAUUAUAGAAGGCUGGUGUUGGGGUUAGUUGAAGAGUUUGAUGAUAUUACUUUCAAUUAUCUUCCUCGUGAUGAAAACCAGAUGGCAGAUGCUUUGGCUACUUUGGCUUCCAUGAUCAAAGUAAGCAGACAAGAAGAUGUGAAGCCCAUUCAGAUGACUAUUUGUGAGGCCCUGUCCUAUUGUUAUAAUAUAGAGGAAGAAGAAAGAGAUGAUCAUCGUUGGUAUCAGGAUAUAUUGCGAUAUGUGAGAAAUUGUGAAUAUCCAGAUCAAGCCACGGAGAAUGACAAAAGAACGUUGAGAAGGCUCGCUUGUGAUUAUGUUUUAGAUGGAGAGAUCCUGUACAAAAGAAGGAAGGAUCAGGUACUGUUGAGAUGUGUGGAUGCCGUGGAGUCCAAGAAAAUCAUGGAAGAGGUGCACGAAGGUGUUUGUGGAACACACGCUAAUGGGUUUAUAAUGGCCAGACAAAUUAUGAGGUUUGGAUAUUAUUGGUCAACCAUGGAAGUAGACUGCAUCAAUUAUGCCAAGAAAUAUUACAAAUGUCAAAUUUAUGGUGAUACGAUUCACGUGCCUCCCUCGCCUUUGCAUGUUAUGACUUCCCCAUGGCCAAUUUCCAUGUGGGGCAUGGAUGUCAUAGGGCCAAUUUCACCGAAGGAUUCAAAUGGGCAUCAUUUCAUUUUUGUGGUUAUUGAUUUUUUACCAAGUGGGUGGAUGCUGCUUCGUACGCUAAUGUAACUCAAUCGGCAGUCAGCAGAUUCUUAAAGAAGGAAAUUAUAUGUCGGUAUAGAAUGCCUGAGAGGAUCAUAUCUGAUAAUGUGCUAAAUUUGAACAAUAAUACAAUAGCAGAGGUCUGCAGUCAGUUUAAGAUCAGACAUCAUAACUCAUCACCAUCUCACCCGAAGAUGAAUGAGGCAGUGGAAGCAACCAAUAAAAAUAUUAAGAAGAUUGUGGGGAAAAUGACCGAAACUUACAAAGAUUGGCAUGAAAAGUUUCCAUUUGCGCUCUAUGCUUAUCGAACAUCUGUCAAAACUUCUACUGGGGCAACACCUUUUUCAUUGGUAUAUGGAAUGGAAGCAGUUCUACCCAUUGAAGUGGAGAUACCUUCUCUUCGAGUUUUGUCAGAAUUGAAGUUAGAUGAAGCAGAAUGGAUACAAUCUCGAUAUGAUCAGUUGAAUCUGAUUGAGGAAAAGAGGCUAAAGGCUAUUCAGCAUGGACAGAUGUAUCAAAAAAGAAUGAUGCGGGCUUAUGAAAAAAAGGUUCGCCCAAGAGAGUUUCAUGAGGGAGAUUUGGUUUUGAAGAAGAUUCUUUCCAUACAAAAAGAUUUCAGAGGAAAAUGGAUGCCAAAUUGGGAGGGGCCUUAUGUGGUAAAGAAGGCUUUUUCCGAUAGUGCAUUAAUCCUGGCCGAAAUGGAUGGAAGAAAUUUGUCUAAUCCGGUAAACUCAGAUUCAGUCAAAAAGUACUACACUUAACAAGGGAAGGAAGCCAAGGUGAAAACCCGCAAAGGGCGCUUCGAGGCUUUCAAAAAAAAACAAAAAAAGGGGGCCAAAGUGAAAACCCGCAAAGGACGGUUUAGGACCAAAUAAAAAGGGCAAAGGUGAAAACCCACAAAGGGCACUUUGAGACUCAAUAAUAAUAAAAGAAAAAAAGAAAAAGAGAAAAAGGAGAGGCCAAGGUGAAAACCCGCAAAGGGCGCCUUGUGACCAAAGGGGAUUUGAGUUGAAAACCCGAAAAGGGUGGCUCAAAUAAGGAUCCAAAGUGAGAAGGCAGUGGUCUCGCUAUACUUGAAUUAACCAUGAAGGGGGUAUGUGGCAUCUUGGGGCGUUAACAAAGUACUUCUGAUAUCUUAAACACAUAUCGAGUUUGAAUUGGUGUUCAAGAGGUUCGUACAGUGAAGCUCAGGUUGCGAUAACAAGGGUACCUAGUCUUCGUUUUCAGUAAAUUGGUUAUCUUUGAAUUAUCCCUUAUUUUUCAAGAUACACAUUCCCAAAUUAAUGGCCAUUGUUGUUCUUUUGAUAAUUUACUUUGAAUUUAAGAUUAGUUCCAUUCGUGUUCAUUAUUACGAUUUGAUUGCAAGUAUGUUGCAUUGACAUAAUGAUGAAUGAACUAGUAAUGUUUUCACAAUAAAAGUUUUGCAUAUUACUCUAGGAGUUUCUAGAUAAUGCAAGAAUCUGAAGUGGAAUUAUUGUUUAGAAUGAGCUCAAGUUCAAGGAUAUAUUUGGAUAAAUCACCUUGGUGAGAUCUCUGUCCAAAUGAUGAUAGAGCAAAUAGGCAAGAUAUAGUAUUGAUGAUACAAUGUUAUUCUCGAGAAAAGGGAAAUGACGUUUUGUAUUCAUACAAAGAUCAAAAAUGCACAUUUGGCUAUAACACCUGAUGAGUGAGGUAGCAAAUUGACCAUAGGAAAAUUCAACUAUGAGUUGCAAUAUUUUUGUCCCAAAAGAAUAGUGGAAGGUACGUUGGAAUUAUAGUGGGGCAAGCUGGCCGAGCAGGAUAUGAUUGUUUCUUUGGAAUACUCUAUCAAGAUGACGGUUGAGCAAAUGCAUCAGUAACAGUGUUAAUAAGCAAACGAGUGGUGAUACCCUAAAUUGUUAAAUGGAAUUAUUCUCAUUUCUGCAUAUAUUAUUCGUAGCACAUUUAGUUAGGAGCAUUAGAUUCAUCUCAAGCUAGCAUCCUAAUUAUUUGGCAUAAACAUACGCAUACUAAAAUAGAGUAUACAUGAUUGAAGAUCUUAUCUCCCUGAAGUUGCAGUGGAGCAGAUCGAAAAAGGUGAAUCUUAUCUCCACGUAUCAGCAAUGGAGUAGAUUUUACUACCAGCCUCAUCUCUCUGAGGUAGCAAGAGAGUAGGUUGAAGAAUGAAUCUUAUCUUCCUGAGGUAGCAGGGAAGCAGACUGAAGAUUGAAGAUCUUAUCUCCCUAAGCAGUAGCAAAGUAGAUCGAAAGAGGCGAAUCUUAUCUCCAUGUAUCGGUAAUGGAGCAAAUUUAAGCCCCAAGCCUUAUCUCUUUGAAGUAGCAAGAGAGCAGGUUGAAGAAUGAGUCUUAUCUUUUUGAGGUAGCAAGGAAGCAGACUAAGAAUUGAAGAUUUUAUCUCCCAGAGACUGCAGUGGAGUAGAUCUUCGCAGACGGUGAAUCUUAUCUCCAUGUAUCGGCAAUAGAGCAGAUUUUACCACCAGCCUCAUCUCUCUGAGGUAGCAAGAGAGCAGGUUGAAGAAUGAGUCUUAUCUUCUUGAGAUAGCAAGGAAGCAAACUGUGGAUUGAGGAUCUUAUCUCCCUGAAGUUGCAGUGGAACAGAUCGAAAAUAGUGAAUCUUAUCUCUAUGUAUCGGCAAUGGAGCAGAUUUAACCCACCAACCUCAUCUUCCUAAAGGUGUUUGGAAAAGAGGAAUGCCAAAAAGCCAAAAUUUAGCAAGACCGGGCAAAAUAAGCCAAACAAUUUUUCUAAAGGUCCUUGCUCUAUUCCUGUUACACGUCAAUGAGAAAAGAGGGGCAGCUGUAGUCAACCAAUUUUUCCUGGGCCGUUUUAAAGUAUUAAAAUAAGCCAAACAAAUAAGUCCAGGUAAAUUGAACACACACAAAUAAAGAAUCCAAAUUCAGAAGUCCAAUGUCUGGUUACAAAUAUUUGGGCCAAAAAUAACUUAAACCCAAGAUCCUUUAAUAUAGACUUAACCCAAUCCUUAGUUCAAACAGCCCAAACCCGAGGCCCAAUACACCCAAAAGGAAACACAGCAAUCGAGAGCACCAAAAGCUUCUGGAAUGCCAGAGAGUUGGGCUCCCAUGAGAGGCUCCUCGCAUGGCCUCCUUCGCGCGUCUCCUUGCUCCUCCGUACGGCCAUCCCUGCGUUAGAAUACACGAUAAGAGGCCAGCUAACAAAAUACAACAAAUGACAGCAAUAAAAAUGUAUUUUUAUUUUUUAUUUAUUUUACUCUGUAAAUUUGGCUAUAAAAGCCAAUGAUUGUACCUGUAAAAGGGAUUACGAAUAUAUUGCGCACACCAGAUAUCAAAAAUAAAGCAUUUCACAAGCAUUUUUUAAAGGUGAUUUUCUGUUUAAUAAUUGCUUUUAAAUUUCGGCUGAAUGACUUCAUUUUUAUCUUUCAUUAUUAUAUUAAAAAAUAAUAGAAAGAAAGAGAAAAGAAAUCUCACCUUAUGGAUCGGCCAUUGAUCUCUCUUUGCUUCGUCAGACUUGAAAUGGAAAAAGAGGUCUUAAGGCCGAAAAUUAUCAUCAAAAGGCCACAUUUGUCGGUUGUUGUUUUUAAGGGAAGAUCAGCGUUGGUGUUAAAAGGGGAAUCAAACGGCGCCAUCCAUCAAUUGUAAUGUUGAAAGCGGCGGCCGAAUGUGAACAAACCCUUAGGGUUUUUUUUCCCCCCCUUUUCAAUCUACUCUGCCGAAAUAAGCUCUUAGAAGCUGUUUUUUUUGCUUUUAAUUGGCCCCAUGAGACGACGAUGUUUAAGGCAUGGAUUUGUAGCCUUGAAACGACGCCGUUUAAGCUUGCCCGACCCGAUCCCAUUCCUUUACCCCUGGGAUCCGCGUAUUUUCGUAGAGAGGGAUAAUUGCACAAUUGAUCCUUCUUCUUUCGCGCUAUUAUUCAAUUACAAGCUAUUUGCUUAUUUCUUUUUUAAUUUGGCUUGGUAAUUUGAGUGCAUUUGCAAUUGGAUCCAUGCUUCAGCUGAAUGUUUUUGGAGAUCUGAAAUAUUUCCAGCUUUAACCUAUAUACAUUUGCACGCAUUGCAUGGGUGGUCCUUAUUUUAAUAGUAGUAGUUUGUUUUAUUUAUAAAUUAUCCCUUUAUUUUAUAAUUUUAUUUCAAUUGUUUUUUUAUUAUUUUUUUAAAUUCGUUUCACAUUCAUUUUUCCUUUUAGGUUUUUUUUUUUUAUAUUUGGAGCUCCUUUGAUGAUUGUGUUUUGUUUUAAAGUCAGUACUGUAAAUUUAUUUUACCAUAUCAUUUUUACAGUGUAUAAUAUUUUAUAUGAAUGUUUUUAUGCAUUAUUAUAUAUAUAUAAUUAUUCCAUGUAUAUUAUUAAUCUUAUAUUAUUUUAUACACAUAAUUUCUUUUAAAUUUAUUCCUAUAUCUUAUUAUAUAUCUAUGUUGUUUAAGGGAAAAUCCUACAUAUUUUUUAUUUUUUUCCCUUAAUUACUAUUAUACGUAACCCAUAUUAAAUUAUUUUACUAUAGUCUACAUUAUUGAUUUCAUAUUAAUAUUUCUUGUAAGUAUAUAUUUGUUCUCUUUAAAAUUAUGCAUGCGUAUAAUGCGUUUCUUUUAAGAACUAUAAUUUUAAGUCAUACCAUUUAUUUAUUAUAUACACUCUCAUAUUUUAUUAUCCUUAUAUAUGUAUUAUUUAUAUGUGCCAUCAAUUCAAACCAAUUUGUUACAUGUAAAAUUAUGUUAUAUAUUAUUUGUUUUAAAAUUCCCUUUAUAAUAUAGUUUUAUAAAUAUACACCACUAAAUUUAUGUAUUUUUGUAAAUAUAAUUUUUUAUCUUUUUGUGUAUAUGAUUACAUUUUCUAAAAUUUGUUACAUGUAUAAUUUAUAUAUUUACUUAAUUUUUUUUCAUACAUUAUUAAUUUCAUGCUAUUUUUUUUACAAAUAAUUAUUUCCAAAUUUAUUUAUAUACAUGUUCUAUGAAUUUAUUAUGUACAUUAUAUUUUAUCAUGUGUUUUAUUUUUAUUUUAUAUUUUAUAUGUUAUUUAAGCUAUCACGCAUGUUGUCAAUUUUUCAAAUGGAUUUGUGCUUAAAAUAGUAUGCAUAUUAUUCAAUUCAAAGGCUUUAUUUUACAAUAUUUAUUUCAAAUGAUAAUAUAUCCCUAGUUUUUAUACAAAUUUGUCAACUUAUAUUAUGUGUCCAUUAAUUCAUCAUUAUUUUGAAAAUGUCCUAUACUAUAUUGACUUCUAAUUCCAUUUUAUUUUGUACAUAUUUUGUGGAUCGUUUUAUAUGGUGUCAUGUUAGUUAUUGUUGUAUGUUAUUUUUGUAUUGAUUGUUCACCAUCCAUGAUUAAGAAUUUGGUUACAUUUUACUUAGAAUAGUUGUACAUAAUUGUUGGAUUUAUUAAUUGUGACUUGUUGUAUCAUAUUAGUUCAUGUUCAUUAAUCCUUUCCUAGGCAAAUGUUUCGAUACAAUGCAUUAAGUAUUCCAUCUAUUUUAAAACAACUAAACGUGUUUUGAGCGAAUUUCCAAUUUUCUUUAUUAUUCAAAAAUUCUGAAAUAAGGCAAUAUCCAAUAUUUGGGAAUUCGGGAAAUCGUGCUCAAUCGUGCUAGGUAUGAUUUUUUUGGUGAACUAAAUAUUUGGAUAACCUUUUAUAAUUUUAGUGUACGAGUUUUCAAAAGUCAAAAAUCAAUCGUAUUUUUAAAGGUAUAAAGGAUCGUAUCCAAUCGUGCUAGGUAUGAUGCUGCAUAUCUUUGAAACGAGAGAAUUUUGGCCGCUAAUUUGAACUAUUCAAACAUUUUAAAAAAGAAUCAUACUUUGAAAAAUCUUUUUUUAAAAAAACCUUCUAGUAUAAGGAUGGCAUCAAGUCAAUUUGGUACCAAUUUUUGGGCGUAAUGAGGGUGCUAACCCUUCCUCAUGUGUAAUCGACUCCCGAACCCAUUCUUGAUUUUCUGUAAACCAAAAUUAUUGUAACAAAACGAUUUAGUAGGUGGCCCAAUCACACCUAAAUCAAAAGAUUGGUGGCGACUCCACAUUUUUUUUCAAAAGUCGAUCCCUAUUGUUUUCAAAUAAAAAAGGGUUUCGACAGCUUGGCGACUCCGCUGGGGAUUGAACAAAGAGAGUUAGGCCAUAAAUUUGAUUGUUUGCUAUCCUUUUGUCAAAGAAUUGAAAAUUUGUGUUGAAAAUUAUGAUUCUUUUAAUUGCAUUUGUUGGCAUGAUUGUAGUGGUACGAGUUUGGUAGAAUAAUAUGACAUUGCAUUGCAUGACCGCUGUGGUUAUACCUAUUAAGUGAGAGUAAGAAACUAUGCUUUCGUGAGGUUUUCACCUCCGUAUGGGCUAGUGGAUUGCUUCCGAGAUACAUCCGUACCUAUGAUUCCGUGAGAUUUUCAUCUCCGCAUGGUCAUAGGGAAAUAUGUUCCCAUGAACUGAACUCGAUUCAUAUGAGCCUAUAAUGGGUGAGGAUUGAGGAAUCUGCUGGUUCGGGUACCUUUACUCUAGGACCGAGCUACAUAUAGUGAACCUUAAGAGCUAUCCUUAGGUAGAGCCGCGUCAAGCCUUAGUCAUUGCCCAUAUGUGUGUUAUUAUUAUCUUUGUUGUUAUACUUCUAUUUUAUCACUUAUAUUUGAUACUAACUUGUGUUUUGUUUUGAUUGUGUUUUACAUGACAUUGCAUACUAAAUGAGGUGUUGGUUCGUAUUCGAUUACUAAGUUAGAAAGUUUAACAUGGAGAAUGAAUUUCUUAAUAAAGUUGAGGAUAAUGCGGCCGUCCGCGCAAGGUCAAAGAGGUUACAAUCAGAGAAAGGGGAUAGCCUGGCAUAAGGAUAUACGUCAGAGUUGCAAAACUUUACCCGCAUCAAUGUAAAACAGAAUGAGCUGCAGGAGUUGAAAGACAUAUGGUCUUAUUAGGAUGAAGGCACUAAACAGUUGUUCUACCAGAGUUAUGGUGAUAUACCGUACUUGCUCGAUGUUAAGGUGGAUAAGCGUUUGUUCCGAGGUAUGGCUCAAUUUUGGAAUUCUGCUUAUAAUUGUUUCACUUUUGGGGAAGUAGAUUUGGUUCAUACCUUGGAAGAAUAUACUACUUUGUUGAGAAGUCCAAAAGCUCAAGUCAGAAAAUUUAUGCUAAGGUUUCUAAUAGUCAAACUUUUGCAAAAAGGUUGGUGAAUAUUUCGGGGAUGAGUGAAUCUUGGGUCACGAAUUCAACAGAAAGGGGAUAGUAAGUGUAUUCCCUAGGAAAAUUUGAGAGAUUUGGUUUUGACGCAUCCGGAUGAAAAGAAAAGGGUUGAUAUCUUUGCCUUAAGCAUCUAUAGACUGGUGAUUUUUCCUAAGGCUUUAAGGCAUGUUGAUAAGGCAGUCACUAAUUUGUUUGAUCGUCUCGAAAAGGGAGUCACACCUGUACCUGCAAUACUAGCCGAGACGUUUAGAUCUUUGAGCAUGUGUCGAAGGAUAGGGGAAGGUCGAUUUAUUGGAUGUGCACAGUUGUUGAUGAUAUGGUUUCAUGGGCAUUUUUGGAAAGUGAAUAGGGUUUCGUAUCGGGUCUUCUCCGAAUGUUACUCCCCAUUAAAAGAAGAGAUGGCCAUGUAAAUGAGAGAUGAUAAUUCAGAAGAGAAAUGGAUGGAAAUUCUCUAAAAUCUCAAGGAGGAUGAUGUAGAAUGGAGAGCUUUUUGGAUGGUUCCUGAUGAAAUCUUGUAUUGAUGUGGUAGCUAUAAUUGGGUGCCAUUGUUAGAAAUUUGGGGAGCUACUGGACAUACUCCUUUACUUGCAUUAAGGCAAUAUAAAUCGAGGUGGUUCAUACUACGACGUACGGGCUGGCUUAGUGUGAAUUCCCAUAUAAAGGAGAUCACUAUAGGAAGAAAGUUCGGGAGUUAUCUGAUGCCUGGAGGCAAACACACUGGAUGAAGAGGCUGACUGUUGGUUCCAUGGUAACACACGAAUACAAUAGAUGGUUUAGGAAAAGGGUCAAUGAUAAUAUUCCUAGACCAAGUUUGGAAAGCGCCCGACCAAUGGAGGAUCAGUUACAAUUUACCCCGUCAGAGUUGGAAAUUAUAAAGCAAGAUUUUGAGAACAAGAGUUCUGAGUUUGGGAAGAUGAGUUCUGAGUUUGGGAAGAAGAUCGAGUAGUUGGAAGAGGAAAAGAUGCACUUGAAGUUAGAUGUGGAGAUUCAAAAGUUAGAGGCAGAAAAGCUACAGAAAAGGAAGAGUGAAGUUGAGGAAGAUUUGGAAAGCUUGAAAAUAGAUUAUAAGAAGCUGCGCUUAUCAAUGAGGACUGCUGGAUUAGGAAAGACUUUAGAUUAAUGGGGCCAAGAGGUUCGAGAGGAAAGGGCUAAGGUAAAUCAAUGGGAAAAGAGGUUUCAAGAGGCUCAAGCUCGGAAUGAAGCCUUGGAAAGAAGUUUGUCGGAGUGCAAGAAUGAAAAAGAUGAAUUAAGAGCCAGACUAGCGGAACUUGAGAGAUCUCUGUGUUUAUACCGGAAUCGUAAUUCUGUGAUAGGUUUAAAGCAAGCUUAGGUAAGAUCGAGGAGAUGAAAGGAAAAAUAGAAGAGUUAGAAACGGCAUUGCAAAGUUGUAAAAUGAGGAUUGAGUUUUUGGAGGCAAAUGAGGAACAAUGGAAGGGCCAGCUUCAUCACUCCCAAGACUAGGUUAGAAGCAGAGAUUACAUUAUGGGCGAGGCUGUAAUGCAAAUUCGAGAAGUAGCUAAUUAUUUGCAAUCUUUAGCGGUACAAGCAGACGUAUUAAGCGUGAAGUACGAUUUGGAGUCAGAUAAGGGACAAGAACUAGCUUCAUUGCUUAGGAAAAUUAAAGCCCUGAGUGUUAGGGCAAAGUCGUAUUUGUAACUCAGUUUUAUGUAAAGAAUUUUAUUUUCUAGUAAAGUUUUAUAAAAGGAAUUGAAUCAGAAUUGAUGCCUCCUUUGCAUUCAUGCAUUUGCAUUACAUUACAUCAUAUGCAUUAAAGCUCAUAAUAAGAUUCUAAUUAAUUAAAAAUUAUUUCAGUAAUCUGGAAACCAACAAAAACACACAAAAUAAGUAUCCCUACGGUACGAGGAAAAAGACUAAGUUAAUGGACAAAAGACUGGAAAAGUUAGAAUAAAUGUAAAAGGAUAUGGAAGAGCAAAUGCAGUCACAGAUGCAAGAGCAGCUGGUUAACAUUCAGCAAGAGAUGAAAAAACAGAUGAUGGAGUCCCAAAGAGAGAUGAUGAGUCAGUUGUCCCAAUUGCUGAUGAGAAUAGUGGAUACGGGAAAAGGUCCUAUGGAUAAUAUGGGAGAAAAUAAUGAAGACCCUCAAUAUCCUCCCAGCUUCACUCCUAUACAUGUGCAGACACAACCUGAGAUUAAUUUGCUGAACCCAUCUGUUACGAUCAGGCCUUAGCAGUUUCAGGCCGGGGUUUCAGUACCAAUGAAUUUUCAAGCUGGUUCAUUUUAUAAUCCUGAUAACAACUCUAAUAAUCCAAUUGUUCCUGAUUUGGAUGAGGUUGCGAAAGCGGAAAGGGCAAAGGCGGAGUCACAAAAGCAAUUAGAAGAACGGUGUAAAUGGCUGGAGGAAAAGGUCAGAGCAAUGAAGGGUAUUGAUAGACACCCGAGAAUUGAUGCAAAAGAUCUAAGUUCGGUCCCGGACUUAGUACUGCCAUACAAGUUCAGGAUGCCAGAAUUUGAGAAAUACAAUGGAACGAGCUGUCCUGAAGCUCAUGUCACUAUGUUUUGCAGAAGAAUGACGGGAUAUGUUCAUAAUAAUCAAUUGUUGAUUCAUUGCUUCCAAGAUAGUUUGGUAGGAGUGGCUGCUAAAUGGUACAAUCAAUUGAGUCAAAAUAGGAUUAGUUCAUGGAGAGAUUUAGCACAGGCGUUUAUGAAGCAAUAUAUCCAUGUGACAGAUAUAACUCCUGAUAGGAUUACUCUACAGAAUAUGGAGAAGAAACCAAAUGAAAGUUUCAAGCAGUAUGCACAGAGGUGGAGGGAAAUGGCCAUUCAGGUUCAACCACCGCUCUUAGAGAAAGAAACUACGAUGCUCUUCAUUAACACCUUAAAGGCUCCGUUAUAACUCAUAUGCUAGGAAGUGCCACGAAGAGCUUUACGGACGUGGUCAUGACAGGAGAAAUGAUUGAGAAUGCCACAAGAAAUGGAAGGAUAGACGUAGGAGAAAGUGCUAAAAGGUCUGUGUUACAGAAAAAAGAGAAUGAGCUGAACAAUACGAACGUGGGAUAUUCAAAGUCUGUUACUGUAAGUAAAUCAAAAGCGGUAACUACCGGUCAGGGAUCAUCAAGGCAAGAGUCAGGAACCAGGCAGAAUAAUGAGAAGAUUCAAUUUACACCAAUUCCCAUGACAUACAAAGAGUUAUAUCAAAGUUUGUUCGAUGCACAUGUGGUGGCACCUUUUUACUUAAAGCCAUUGCAGCCUCCGUUCCCUAAAUGGUACGAUGCUAAUGUUCCAUGUGAGUAUCACGCAGGAAUUGUGGGUCAUUCGAUAGAAAAUUACACCACUUUUAAGAAACUGGUUGAGAGAUUUAUCUAGAUGGGAAUUUUGAAAUUCGAUAAUGCGCCCAGUACUGAAAAUCCGCUACCUAAUCAUACUGAUAGUUGGGUAAAUACAAUAGAUGGAGGUAUUGGAAAAAGGAUCAAGAAGGAUGUUUCAGAAGUAAAGACUCCUUUGAGACGAGUUUGGAAAGAGAUGACAAGAAGGGGAUUAGUUACUUCAAACACGGAAGGAAAUAAUAAUGGGAUAGAGAAUUAUUGUGAGCUCCAUCAUAAAGAGGGACACAGAAUUCAGGAUUGUGAAGGAUUCAGAGUCGUUAUUCAGAGCCUGAAGGACAGUAAAGAAAUAGAAUUUUAUGAAGAGGUUUCGGAAGAAGAGUAUACAUGCGCAUCAGAAUCCGUAUCAAGUGUCCCGAAAGUAAACUAUCAUGUGGUAAUUAUUUUGUGUCCUAAGAGUGAUGUAGGAGUUCAAGUGACGCCAAAGAUCAUAAUUUAGAAGUCGGCAGUUUUUUCUUACAAUGAUAGUAAAAGGGUCCCCUAGAACUACGAUUGUAAAGUGAUGAUCCCAGGAAAGGAGAGUACAAUCAACUCGUUAAAGGCGGACCAAGAUACAGUGUCUCACACACGCAGUGGAAGACGAUAUGAUACCCGAAUAGAGCCUAUGAAAGGAAGAGAUGUACUGGUCGAGAAAGAGAGGGGAAAAAUAGUUGAAUUUGAUAUGCCUGUUAAUGAACCAGUGAAAGAAGAAGAAGUUAAGUAAUUCCUGAAAUUUCUGAAACAUAGUGAUUACAGUGUGGUGGAACAAUUGCGUAAACAGCCAGCCCGUAUAUCUAUAUUGGCUUUACUCUUGAGUUCAGAGGUGCAUCGGAGUGCAUUGAUGAAGGUGCUAAACGAGACAUAUGUAACCAAUGAUAUUUCCAUCAAUAAGUUGGAUCGAUUGGUUAACAACAUAAGUGCAGACAAUUUCAUCUUUUUCAAUGAUGAUAAGAUACCCCUAAGAGGAAUGGGAUCUACCAAAGCUUUGUACAUAACUACUAGAUGUAAGGGAUACACGUUGCCAGGGGUUCUAGUAGAUAAUGGUUCGACAUUGAAUGUGUUACCUUUGUCCACACUAAACAAGUUACCUGUGGAUAGCUCUCACAUGAAAGGAUGUUAGAACAUAGUAUGAGCAUUUGAUGGUACAGAGAGGAGAGUCAUGGGGAGAAUAGAAGUGCCCUUGUUAAUUGGCCCAAGCACGUAUGAGGUAGAUUUCUUAGUAAUGAAUAUCAAGCCUUCUUACAAUUGUUUGUUGGGAAGACCUUGGAUACAUUCUGCAGGGGCAGUACCUUCAUCAUUACAUCAAAAGCUGAAGCUGGUAUCAGAAGGGCGGUUGGUAACGAUAAAUGCUGAAGAAGAUAUUAUCGCAGCCGUAAGCAGUGAUGCACCGUAUGUAGAGACAGAUGAGAAAGCCAUUGAGUGUUCUUUUCAGUCUUUGGCAAUUGUGAAUGCAACAUUUAUUACUAAGAGAAGUAGAAUUCCAGAACCAAAAAUGUCCAGAACUACGAUGAUGGGUUUACAAUUGAUGGUAGGACAUGGAGCUUUACCAGGAAAUUGACUUGGAAGAUGUCUCCAAGGAAGGAUUACAGUUCCAAUGCUGAAAGACAAAUAGGAUCGCUUUGGUUUGGGAUUCAAGCCAGAUACAAGACAAAGGAAAAAAGAAUUAGAAAGAAGAAGAGCACAAGUGAGUGGUGGGGAAAUCAAGUGGGAGCCCAUGAUAAUUCCUCAUAUCUUCAAGUCUUUUGUAUGAGGGGGCAUUAUUUAUCCUGAACAAGAGGUACCAGAGAAAGAAAGCAUAGGAGAAGCAUUGGGAAAUAUGUACAUCAAUGCCAUUUUUGAAGAGACAACUGAAGAGGGGAUUUUAUCAAAUAUUCGUCCAUAUGAGCCUGGGAGUGUUCUAAACAAUUGGACUGUAGAAGAUCUUCCUGUAGUUUUUAGAGCUUACUCAGAGUAAUGUUCAAAAUAAACUUAUUGUUUUAAGCCUAGAAACAAUAAAGAUUUCUUUGUGAAAUAGGCUCAUGUUCAAACAUCAUUAUUUCAAUGAAGUACUUUUUUUUUUGCUAUCAUUUUGAGUAAAUAUUAUUCUUUUCACAAGCAUUUGUGUUAUUCUUUCUAUCUAAAUAAUCAUCUUGAUUCUUUCUUCAAUCAUUCUUUUAUUCAUAAACAUAUCAUACAAAACAAUAAUUACCAAAUUUAUUCAUUCUUUGUAUAUUUUUGUACCUACAAUAGGUCCCUAGAUAUCAAUGUUAUGAGCGACGCUAUUACUGACUCAGAAUCACUAUUUGAGCAAGACAUGUGUUUAGAGGGAUCUCAGGACUUUGAAGAUGACAGAGAUUAUGAUUUAUCUCCGGACUUGUUAAGGAUGGUAGAAUAAGAGGAAAAGUAAAUUUUGCCUCAUAAAGAAACCGUAGACAUGGUGACUUUGGAAGAGGGGAAAGUUGUAAAAAUUAGAACAUGCAUAGUUGAAGAGACAAAGCGAGACCUUGUUGGGUUACUUUAGGAAUUCAAAGAUGUUUUUGCAUGGUCAUACCAGGAUAUGCCUGGUUUAAGUCAUGAUAUUGCGGUAUAUUGCCUUCCCAUAAGAGAAGAUUGCAAGCUAGUACAGCAAAAACUUCGAAGAAUGGGGCUAGAUAUUAUUUUAAAGAUCAAGGAGGAAGUCAAAAAAUAGUUUGAUGCGAGGUUCCUUCAGGUCAUCAAAUACUCAGAAUGGGUAGCCAAUGUUGUGCAUGUUCCCAAAAAAGAUGGCAAGGUGCGAAUGUGUGUGGAUUAUAGAGAUCUAAAUAAGGCUAGUCCAAAAGACAAUUUUCCUUUGCCUCAUAUUGAUGCGCUAGUGGACAAUACGACUGGAUUCUCAUUGUUCUCUUUCAUGGAUGACUUCUCAGGGUAUAAUCAGAUCAAGAUGAUCCUAAAUACAUGGGAAAGACUACUUUUAUAACUUUGUGGGGCACAUUCUGUUACAAGGUGAUGCCAUUUGGAUUGAAGAAUGCUGGAGCAACGUAUCAGAGAGCUAUGGUGACUUUAUUCCAUGAUAUGAUGCACAAGGAAAUGGAAGUGUAUGUUGAUGAUAUGAUAGCCAAAACUCGAAUGGAAAAGGAGCACAUCCAGGUGUUGAGAAAGCUAUUCAUGAGACUAAGGAAGUUUCAGUUAAAGCUUAAUCCAACAAAAUGUACCUUUGGCGCUAGAUCUAGAAAGCUAUUGGGCUUUGUGGUCAGUGAGAAGGGAAUUGAGAUUGAUUCAGACAAAGUCCGAGCUAUACAAGGGUUGUCUCCACUGCGCACUCAAAAAGAAGUUUGGGGUUUCCCCGGAAGACUAAAUUACAUUGCGCGGUUUAUUUCUCAAUUAACAGAGAAAUGUGACCCUAUAUUUCGUCUUCUUAAAAAGCAUAACCCAGGAGAAUGGGAUGAGGAAUGUCAAAAGGCUUUUGAUAAAGUUAAAAAAUAUUUGUCAAGUCCUCUAGUGUUAUCACCCCCAAGUUUAGACAAGCCAUUGAUAUUGAAUUUAACCGUGUUUGGUAAUUCAAAGGGAUGUGUGCUUGGUCAACAUGACGAAUCAGGAAGAAAGGAAAGGGCGAUAUAUUACCUCAAUAAGAAAUUCACUGAGUGUGAGUUGAGAUAUUCGCCAAUUGAAAAAUUGUGUUGCGCUUUGGUUUAGACAUCACGAAGAUUGAGGCAAUAUAUGUUGUAUCAUACAACUUGGCUACUCUCAAAGUUGGAUCCUUUAAAGUAUAUGAUGGAGUCAAAUGCCUUGAAUGGAAGGAUGGCUAGGUGGCAAAUUUUGCUUUCUGAAUUUGACAUAAUUUACGUGAGUCAGAAGGCUGUGAAAGGAAGCGCAAUAGCAGAUUUUCUGGCCAGCCGAGCUUUAGAAGAUUAUGAACCCUUGAAUUUUGACUUCCCCAAUGAGGAGAUAGUAUAUGUGGCAGCUGCUGAAGAGGAUACUAUAAAAGGUCAGUUUUGGAAAUUGAAUUUUGAUGGAGCCUCAAAUGCUGUGGGUAAUAGAGUUGGGGCAGUUCUAGUAUCCCCAGGUGGAGAUCAUUAUCUAUUCACAUGUAAAUUGGAUUUUGAUUGUACGAAUAAUAUGGCAGAAUAUGAAGCAUGUAUCAUGGGGCUCAGGGCAGCUAUAGAGCACAAGAUCAAGGCUUUGGAAGUAUAUGGAGAUUCUGCGCUAGUAGUUUAACAGCUUCGAGGUGAAUAGGAGACAAGAGACGCUAAACUAAUCAAUUAUAGAAGGCUGGUGUUGGGGUUAGUUGAAGAGUUUGAUGAUAUUACUUUCAAUUAUCUUCCUCGUGAUGAAAACUAGAUGGCAGAUGCUUUGGCUACUUUGGCUUCCAUGAUCAAAGUAAGCAGACAAGAAGAUGUGAAGCCCAUUCAGAUGACUAUUUGUGAGGCCCCGUCCUAUUGUUAUAAUAUAGAGAAAGAAGAAAGAGAUGAUCAUCCUUGGUAUCAGGAUAUAUUGCGAUAUGUGAGAAAUCGUGAAUAUCCAGAUCAAGCCACGGAGAAUGACAAAAGAACGUUGAGAAGGCUCGCUUGUGAUUAUGUUUUAGAUGGAGAGAUCCUGUACAAAAGAAGGAAGGAUCAGGUACUGUUGAGAUGUGUGGAUGCCGUGGAGUCCAAGAAAAUCAUGGAAGAGGUGCACGAAGGUGUUUGUGGAACACACGCUAAUGGGUUUAUAAUGGCCAGACAAAUUAUGAGGUUUGGAUAUUAUUGGUCAACCAUGGAAGUAGACUGCAUCAAUUAUGCCAAGAAAUAUCACAAAUAUCAAAUUUAUGGUGAUAAGAUUCACGUGCCUCCCUCGCCUUUGCAUGUUAUGACUUCCCCAUGGCCAAUUUCCAUGUGGGGCAUGGAUGUCAUAGGGCCAAUUUCACCGAAGGAUUCAAAUGGGCAUCGUUUCAUUUUUGUGGUUAUUGAUUUUUUACCAAGUGGGUGGAAGCUGCUUCGUACGCUAAUGUAACUAAAUCGGCAGUCAGCAGAUUCUUAAAGAAGGAAAUUAUAUGUCGGUAUAGAAUGCCUGAGAGGAUCAUAUCUGAUAAUGCGCUAAAUUUGAACAAUAAUACAAUAGCAGAGGUCUGCAGUCAAUUUAAGAUCAGACAUCAUAACUCAUCACCAUCUCACCCGAAGAUGAAUGAGGCAGUGGAAGCAACCAAUAAAAAUAUUAAGAAGAUUGUGGGGAAAAUGACCGAAACUUACAAAGAUUGGCAUGAAAAGUUUCCAUUUGCGCUCUAUGCUUAUCGAACAUCUGUCAAAACUUCUACUGGAGCAACACCUUUUUCAUUGGUAUAUGGAAUGGAAGCAGUUCUACCCAUUGAAGUGGAGAUACCUUCUCUUCGAGUUUUGUCAGAAUUGAAGUUAGAUGAAGCAGAAUGGAUACAAUCUCGAUAUGAUCAGUUGAAUCUGAUUGAGGAAAAGAGGCUAAAGGCUAUUCAGCAUGGACAGAUGUAUCAAAAAAGAAUGAUGCGGGCUUAUGAAAAAAAGGUCCGCCCAAGAGAGUUUCAUGAGGGAGAUUUGGUUUUGAAGAAGAUUCUUUCAAUACAAAAAGAUUUCAGAGGAAAAUGGAUGCCAAAUUGGGAGGGGCCUUAUGUGGUAAAGAAGGCUUUUUCCGGUAGUGCAUUAAUCCUAGCCGAAAUGGAUGGAAGAAAUUUGUCUAAUCCGGUAAACUCAGAUUCGGUCAAAAAGUACUACACUUAACAAGGGAAGGAAGCCAAGGUGAAAACCCGCAAAGGGCGCUUCGAGGCUUUAAAAAAACAAAAAAAGGGGGCCAAAGUGAAAACCCGCAAAGGGCGCUUUAGGACCAAAUAAAAAAGGGCCAAGGUGAAAACCCACAAAGGGCACUUUGAGACUCAAUAAUAAUAAAAGAAAAAAAGAAAAAGAGAAAAAGGAGAGGCCAAGGUGAAAACCUGCAAAUGGCGCCUUGUGACCAAAGGGGAUUUGAGUUGAAAACCCGAAAAGGGUGGCUCAAAUAAGGAUCCAAAGUGAGAAGGCAGUGGUCUCGCUAUAUUUGAAUUAACCAUGAAAGGGGUAUGUGGCAUCUUGGGGCGUUAACAAAGUGCUUCUGAUAUCUUAAACACAUAUCGAGUUUGAAUUAGUCUUCAAGAGGUUCGUACAGUGAAGCUCAGGUUGCGAUAACAAGGGUACCUAGUCUUCGUUUUCAGUAAAUUGGUUAUCUUUUAAUUAUCCCUUAUUUUUCAAGAUACACAUUCCCAAAUUAAUGGCUAUUGUUGUUCUUUUGAUAAUUUACUUUGAAUUUAAGAUUAAUUCCAUUCGUGUUCAUUAUUACGAUUAGAUUGCAAGUAUGUUGCAUUGACAUAAUGAUGAAUGAACUAGUAAUGUUUUCACAAUAAAAGUUUUGCAUAUUACUCUAGGAGUUUCUAAAUAAUGCAAGAAUCUGAAGUGGAAUUAUUGUUUAGAAUGAGCUCAAGUUCAAGGAUAUAUUUGGAUAAAUCACCUUGGUGAGAUCUCUGUCCAAAUGAUGAUAGAGCAAAUAGGCAAGAUAUAGUAUUGAUGAUACAAUGUUAUUCUCGAGAAAAGGGAAAUGACGUUUUGUAUUCAUACAAAGAUCAAAAAUGCACAUUUGGCUAUAACACCUGAGGAGUGAGGUAGCAAAUUGACCAGAGGAAAAUUCAACUAUGAGUUGCAAUAUUUUUGUCCCAAAAAAAUAGUGGAAGGGACGUUGGAAUUAUAGUGGGGCAAGCUGGCCGAGCAGGAUAUGAUUGUUUCUUUGGAAUACUCUAUCAAGAUGACGGUUGAGCAAAUGCAUCAGUAACAGUGUUAAUAAGCAAACGAGUGGUGAUACCCUAAAUUGUUAAAUGGAAUUAUUCUCAUUUCUGCAUAUAUUAUUCAUACCACAUUUAGUUAGGAGCAUUAGAUUCAUCUCAAGCUAGCAUCCUAAUUAUUUGGCAUAAACAUAUUCAUACUAAAAUAGAGUAAACAUGAUUGAAGAUCUUAUCUCCCUGAAGUUGCAGUGGAGCAGAUCGAAAAUGGUGAAUCUUAUCUCCAUGUAUUAGCAAUGGAGUAGAUUUACUACCAGCCUCAUCUCUCUGAGGUAGCAAGAGAGCAGGUUGAAGAAUGAAUCUUAUCUUCCUGAGGUAGCAGGGAAGCAGACUGAAGAUUGAAGAUCUUAUCUCCCUAAGCAGUAGCAAAGCAGAUCAAAAGAGGCGAAUCUUAUCUCCAUGUAUUGGUAAUGGAGCAGAUUUAAGCCCCAAGCCUUAUCUCUUUGAGGUAGCAAGAGAGCAGGUUGAAGAAUGAGUCUUAUCUUUUUGAGGUAGCAAGGAAGCAGACUAAGAAUUGAAGAUUUUAUCUCCCAGAGACUGCAAUGGAGUAGAUCUUCGCAGACGGUGAAUCUUAUCUCCAUGUAUCGGCAAUAGAGCAGAUUUUACCACCAGCCUCUUCUCUCUGAGGUAGCAAGAGAGCAGGUUGAAGAAUGAGUCUUAUCUUCUUGAGAUAACAAGGAAGCAAACUGUGGAUUGAGGAUCUUAUCUCCCUGAAGUUGCAGUGGAACAGAUCGAAAAUAGUGAAUCUUAUCUCUAUGUAUCGGCAAUGGAGCAGAUUUAACCCACCAACCUCAUCUUCCUAAAGGUGUUUGGAAAAGAGGAAUGCCAAAAAGCCAAAAUUCAGCAAGACUGGGCAAAAUCGAUCCUUUUGAAGUCUUUGCUCUAUUCCCGUUACACGUCAAUGAGAAAAGAGGGGCAGCUGUAGUCAACCAAUUUUUCCCGGGCCGUUUUAAAGUAUUAAAAUAAGCCAAACAAAUAAGUCCGGGUAAAUUGAACACACACAAAUAAAGAAUCCAAAUUCAGAAGUCCAAUGUCUGGUUACAAAUAUUUGGGCCAAAAAUAACUUAAACCCAAGAUCCUUUAAUAUAGACUUAACCCAAUCCUUAGUUCGAACAGCCCAAACCCGAGGCCCAAUACACCCAAAAGGAAACACAGCAGUCGAGAGCACCAAAAGCUUCUGGAAUGCCAGAGAUUUGGGCUCCCAUGAGAGGCUCCUCGCAUGGCCUCCUUCGCGCGUCUCCUUGCUCCUCCGUACGGCCAUCCCUGCGUUAGAAUACACGAUAAGAGGCCAGCUAACAAAAUACAACAAAUGACAGCAAUAAAAAUGUAUUUUUAUUUAUUAUUUAUUUUACUCUAUAAAUUUGGCUAUAAAAGCCAAUGAUUGUACCUGCAAAAGGGAUUACGAAUAUAUUACGCACACCAGAUAUCAAAAAUAGAGCAUUUCACAAGCAUUUUUUUAGAGGUGAUUUUCUGUUUAAUAGUUGCUUUUAAAUUUCGGUUGAAUGACUUCAUUUUUAUCUUUCAUUAUUAUAUUAAAAAAUAAUAGAAUGAAAGAGAGAAGAAAUCUCACCUUAUGGAUCGGCCAUUGAUCUCUCUUUGCUUCGUCAGACUUGAAGUGGAAAAAGAGGUCUUAAGGCCGAAAAUUAUCAUCAAAAGGCCACAUUUGUCGGUUGUUGUUUUUAAGGGAAGAUCGGCGUUGGUGUUAAAAGGGGAAUCAAACGGCGCCAUCCAUCAAUUGUAAUGUUGAAAGCGGCGGCCGAAUGUGAACAAACCCUUAGGUUUUUUUCCCCCCUUUUCAAUCUACUUUGCCGAAA
RNAcentral lists this long non-coding RNA (34088 nucleotides) under Gossypium barbadense (sea-island cotton). RNAcentral describes it as "long non-coding RNA (GBAR_LNC008344)". The record is from RNAcentral. Lineage: Eukaryota; Viridiplantae; Streptophyta; Magnoliopsida; Malvales; Malvaceae.